This 253-nucleotide ribosomal RNA is filed under the name uncultured bacterium. RNAcentral's name for it is "partial 16S ribosomal RNA". It matches the Rfam family "Bacterial small subunit ribosomal RNA", at positions 524 to 776 of the family's 1533-position model. The record is from RNAcentral.
UACGUAGGGGGCAAGCGUUAUCCGGAAUUACUGGGUGUAAAGGGAGCGUAGACGGUAAUGUAAGUCUGGAGUGAAAGGCGGGGGCCCAACCCCCGGACUGCUCUGGAAACUAUGUUACUAGAGUGCAGGAGAGGUAAGCGGAAUUCCUAGUGUAGCGGUGAGAUGCGUAGAUAUUAGGAGGAACACCAGUGGCGAAGGCGGCCUACUGGACGGUGACUGACGCUGAGGCUCGAAAGCGUGGGGAGCAAACAGG